GUUUGAUCAUGGCUCAGGAUGAACGCUGGCGGCGUGCCUAAAACAUGCAAGUCGUGCGGCAGCGCGGGUAGUUUACUACCUGGCGGCGAGCGGCGAACGGCUGAGUAACGCGUGGGAAUCUACCCCAAAGUGAGGGAUAAGCUCCAGAAAUGGAGUCUAAUACCGCAUGUGGUCUUCGGAUUAAAGCUUUAUGCGCUUUGGGAAGAGCCCGCGUUCGAUUAGCUAGUUGGUGAGGUAAUUGCUCACCAAGGCGACGAUCGAUAGCUGGUCUGAGAGGAUGAUCAGCCAGACUGGAACUGAGACACGGUCCAGACUCCUACGGGAGGCAGCAGUUAGGAAUCUUCCACAAUGGGCGAAAGCCUGAUGGAGCAACGCCGCGUGCGGGAUGAAGGCCUUCGGGUCGUAAACCGCUUUUAUAAGCGAAGAAUAUGACGGUAACUUAUGAAUAAGGAUCGGCUAACUCCGUGCCAGCAGCCGCGGUCAGACGGAGGAUCCGAGCGUUAUCCGGAGUGACUGGGCGUUAAAGAUUGC
This 531-nucleotide ribosomal RNA is filed under the name uncultured bacterium. Its description in RNAcentral is "bacterial SSU rRNA". It matches the Rfam family "Bacterial small subunit ribosomal RNA", at positions 11 to 570 of the family's 1533-position model. The record is from RNAcentral.